Molecule: long non-coding RNA, 1026 nt
Organism: Pangasianodon hypophthalmus (striped catfish)
Lineage: Eukaryota; Metazoa; Chordata; Actinopteri; Siluriformes; Pangasiidae
Exons: 4
Source: RefSeq, a predicted model, not a curated record
CCAUAAAAACUCAGCUCAGUUUCAUUAGAAAAUAAAUUGUGGAAGUCACUUGUUAAUUACAAAGAUUGUUCAGGUGCAUUUUUUUCCUUUAAACCAUGCUAGUCUUCUAAUAUGGUUCCUUUUACGGUGAUCGUUAAUUUAUUUCCCACGACAGAUGACUCCCUGCCAUGAUUUGACACAGUUUUAGGCCAGAUGCUCCUCCUGACGCAACUCCCCAGUUUCAUCCGGGCUUGGGACCGCCACUGGGAGGGCACCGUCUUGUGCAGCCCCAGUGGCUGGGGUCGGUUCCCUGGCAGGGAUUCGAACCCAGGCGUGGCAGUGAGAGCGCCGAGGCCUAACCACUAGUCCUCCAGGGACUCCCUGCCAUACUACUUUUUUUAUACCUUGAUGAGGUGGAGUUUCGCCUGAAGUCCUCCAUGAUUAUUUCAUGAAUCAACCCAACAAAUUGACCAAAUUUAGGAAUGAAAACACUCUGCAUGCUGGCUCCAUUGCCCAGUAGCCAUGGAAACACCGGUGAACAGGUUCGACCUGAAGACAGGAUCACGCUCAUCUCUGCAAAACUCCGGUUUGGAUCAGACCAACACAUGGCCCAUUCGGCACUGAAGACCUGCCUGCUCGCUCGUGAAUAUCCCAGGGGUGCUGCCAGUGAAGGGUCAGAUGAGUGAACGCAUAGACACACACUCACAUACUGCUUACACACACACACACACACACACACACACACAUAACUAGACACAAAUAAGAGUGACAACUCACACUAUGAUCAAUAAAACAGACAUUUGUUGCAGAACAUUUAUUUUCACGUGAUUUUUACAUACGAUUCUUUUCUGAAAACAUGAUUUUACGUGAUUCUUUUAUUCACAUGAGAUUUUUCAUUUAUUGUCCCGUGCAAUUUUUUUACAUGAUGAAUUAUUUUGUCUGAUUGUUUUGCUUGUUUUACGUGUGAUUGCUAACACACGGCUCAUUUACUUUCACCUCAUAAUUUACGAUUCAUUUAUUUUCACGUGUGAUUUUUUCCCCCAUGAU